RNAcentral lists this long non-coding RNA (815 nucleotides) under Homo sapiens (human). RNAcentral's name for it is "HSALNT0176053". Lineage: Eukaryota; Metazoa; Chordata; Mammalia; Primates; Hominidae. The record is from RNAcentral.
CAUCGAUGUCGGCCUUGGGCAGGCUCACAUCCACAUCUGGACCUUCUCCUUUGAAGCCAGGCAUGCUGAAUUUGGGCAUUUUCACCUUGGGCAUCUUCAGGUGCCAGUCUGGGCCAUGAACAUCCACAUCAGGGGUGUUGAUGUCCACUUUUGGGCCCUUGAUGUCAGCUUCUGGGCCCUUGAGGUCGCCUUCCACUUUGGGCAGAGAAAUGUCCAUGUCGCCCUUCACCUUUGGACCUUUCAGAUUCAGGUCAACUUCAGGCAUAGAGAUCUUCGGUGCCUUGAGGUGCAGGUCAGGCAUUUUAAAUUUGGGGCCCUUCAGUUUCCCUUCUGGACCAUGAAUAUCAAUAUCAGGAGUGUCAAUGUCCACUUUGGGUCCUGAGACAUCAAUGUCAGCUUUGGGCAAAUUAACAUCCACUUCUGGGCCCUCUCCUUUAAAUCCUGGCAUGCUGAAUUUGGGCAUUUUCACCUUGGGCAUCUUCAGGUGCCAGUCUGGGCCAUGAACAUCCACAUCUGGGGCAUCAAUGUCCACUUUGGGCCCUCUGAUGUCAACAUCUGGCACUUUCAUUUCACCUUCUACCUUGGGAACAGACACAUCCAUAUCUGGGGCAUCAAUGUCCAUUUUGGGUCCUUUGAUGUCAACAUCUGGCACUUUCAUUUCACCUUCUACCUUGGGCACAGACACAUCCAUAUCCCCUUUGACUUUGGGGCCUUUCAGGUGUAAGUCCACAUCAGGCAUGGAGAUCUUGGGGGCCUUGAAGUGCAUCUCAGGCAUCUUAAACUUGGGCCCUUUCAACUUUGCAUCAGGACACUCC